RNAcentral lists this long non-coding RNA (521 nucleotides) under Equus asinus (donkey). Its description in RNAcentral is "lncRNA (ENSEASG00005036026.1)". Lineage: Eukaryota; Metazoa; Chordata; Mammalia; Perissodactyla; Equidae. The record is from RNAcentral.
UGGAAGGAUAGAGAAAGAGACGCAGGAGGGGAAGAAAGUAGGGUAGACUAAAGAUGGCCACCUUAUAUGCACCCCUAAGUUCAUUGCAGCAAUAUUCCCAACAGCAAGACAUGGAAGCAACCCAAAUGCCCAUCAACAGAUGAAUGAACGGGGUGACCUUGUGACUUGCUUUGACCAAUAGAAUGCAGCAGCUGUGAUGCAAUUCCAGGCCCAGGCCUUAAGAAGAUCUGGCAGCUUCUGCUUUUGCUCCCUGGGGGAAGCCAGCCCGCUGUGAGCAGUCCAACUAUCCUGAGAGAUCACCUGGAGAGGCCAAGCAGAGGAGAACUGAGGAACCCAGCCAACACCAAGGACUGAAGCCUAGAUAUAUGACCCCACUUGAAUUGUUCCAACCAGACCUCAGCUUUUUGAGCCAUUCCAGCUGAGGGCCCAGACAUCACAGAACAGAGAUGAGCUAUUCCCACCAUGCUCUGAUCAAGUUACUGACCCACAAAGCCAUGUUCCAAUGAAAUGCUGUUUUAAGC